UACGUAGGGAGCGAGCGUUGUCCGGAAUCAUUGGGCGUAAAGAGCAUGUAGGUGGAUCAAUUAGUCUGCUGUGAAAGUCAAAGGCUCAACCUUUUGAAAGCCGGUGGAUACUGUUGGUCUAGAGUACGGAAGAGGCGAGUGGAAUUCCUGGUGUAGCGGUGGAAUGCGCAGAUAUCAGGAGGAACACCGGUGGCGAAGGCGGGUCUCUGGGCCGAUACUGACGCUGGAGGAGCGAAAAGCGUGGGGGAGCGAACAGG
This 257-nucleotide ribosomal RNA is filed under the name uncultured bacterium. RNAcentral's name for it is "partial 16S ribosomal RNA". It matches the Rfam family "Bacterial small subunit ribosomal RNA", at positions 524 to 776 of the family's 1533-position model. The record is from RNAcentral.